GACGAACGCUGGCGGCGUGCUUAACACAUGCAAGUCGAACGGAAAGGCCCUGCUUUUGUGGGGUGCUCGAGUGGCGAACGGGUGAGUAACACGUGAGUAACCUGCCCUUGACUUUGGGAUAACUUCAGGAAACUGGGGCUAAUACCGGAUAGGAGCUCCUGCUGCAUGGUGGGGGUUGGAAAGUUUCGGCGGUUGGGGAUGGACUCGCGGCUUAUCAGCUUGUUGGUGGGGUAGUGGCUUACCAAGGCUUUGACGGGUAGCCGGCCUGAGAGGGUGACCGGCGACAUGGGGACUGAGAUAGGGCGCAGACUCGUACGGGAGGCAGCAGUGGGGAAUAUUACACAAUGGGCGGAAGCCUGAUGCAGAAGCGCCGCGUGCGGGAUGACGGCCUUCGGGUUGUAAACCGCUUUCGCCGGUGACGAAGCGUGAGUGACGGUAAUGGGUAAAGAAGCACCGGCUAACUACGUG
Molecule: ribosomal RNA, 468 nt
Filed under: uncultured bacterium
Lineage: Bacteria
Description: partial 16S ribosomal RNA
Rfam family: Bacterial small subunit ribosomal RNA
Source: RNAcentral